GGCGGCCGGGCUGCUGGGGGCGCGGAUCCUGCGGCGGUUCGGGCCGCGGCUGAUGGUGUGCGCCGGGUUCUGCCUGACGGCCGCCGC
This 87-nucleotide transfer RNA is filed under the name Streptomyces spiralis. Its description in RNAcentral is "tRNA-Arg". The record is from RNAcentral. Lineage: Bacteria; Bacillati; Actinomycetota; Actinomycetes; Kitasatosporales; Streptomycetaceae.